RNAcentral lists this ribosomal RNA (654 nucleotides) under uncultured Mollicutes bacterium. Its description in RNAcentral is "bacterial SSU rRNA". It matches the Rfam family "Bacterial small subunit ribosomal RNA", at positions 77 to 722 of the family's 1533-position model. Lineage: Bacteria; Bacillati; Mycoplasmatota; Mollicutes. The record is from RNAcentral.
UCCAAAGAGACUUAGUGGCGAACGGGUGAGUAACACGUAGGUAACCUGCCCAUGUGUCCGGGAUAACUGCUGGAAACGGUAGCUAAAACCGGAUAGGUAUACAGAGCGCAUGCUCAGUAUAUUAAAGCGCCCAUCAAGGCGUGAACAUGGAUGGACCUGCGGCGCAUUAGCUAGUUGGUGAGGUAACGGCCCACCAAGGCAAUGAUGCGUAGCCGGCCUGAGAGGGUAAACGGCCACAUUGGGACUGAGACACGGCCCAAACUCCUACGGGAGGCAGCAGUAGGGAAUUUUCGUCAAUGGGGGAAACCCUGAACGAGCAAUGCCGCGUGAGUGAAGAAGGUCUUCGGAUCGUAAAGCUCUGUUGUAAGUGAAGAACGGCUCAUAGAGGAAAUGCUAUGGGAGUGACGGUAGCUUACCAGAAAGCCACGGCUAACUACGUGCCAGCAGCCGCGGUAAUACGUAGGUGGCAAGCGUUAUCCGGAAUCAUUGGGCGUAAAGGGUGCGUAGGUGGCGUACUAAGUCUGUAGUAAAAGGCAAUGGCUCAACCAUUGUAAGCUAUGGAAACUGGUAUGCUGGAGUGCAGAAGAGGGCGAUGGAAUUCCAUGUGUAGCGGUAAAAUGCGUAGAUAUAUGGAGGAACACCAGUGGCGAAGGC